Molecule: ribosomal RNA, 371 nt
Filed under: uncultured organism
Description: partial 16S ribosomal RNA
Rfam family: Bacterial small subunit ribosomal RNA
Source: RNAcentral
GGAGGGUGCAAGCGUUAAUCGGAAUUACUGGGCGUAAAGCGUGCGUAGGUGGUUUGUUAAGUCAGAUGUGAAAGCCCCAGGCUUAACUUGGGAACUGCAUUUGAAACUGGCAAACUAGAGUAUAGGAGAGGAAAGUGGAAUUUCUGGUGUAGCGGUGGAAUGCGUAGAUAUCAGAAAGAACAUCAAUGGCGAAGGCAGUUUUCUGGACUAAUACUGACACUGAGGUACGAAAGCGUGGGUAGCAAACAGGGAUUAGAUACCCUGGUAGUCCACGCCGUAAACGAUGAUAACUAGCCCGUUAGGGGGGAUACCCUUUAGUGGCGAAGCUAACGCGUUAAGUUGUCCGCCUGGGGAGUACGACCGCAAGGUUA